AGUGGCUGUGGUGAAAGGACAGAUCAUUAUAUAAUUAUAAUUGCUUACAUCCAUUUUGUGUUUGUUUUGUAGAAGUAUUAUAGAAGGUGCUUUACAAAUAUUUUCUUUAAUUCUCACAGCAAUCAUAAAAGGAAGGUAUGAACAUCCCUCAUUAUAAAAAAGAAACUGGUUCAAGAGGAGCCCCAGUUACACAGCUAAGGAAGAGCAAAGCUGAAUUUCAAGCCACGUUUCUCUGGCUCAAUGGCAGAGCUCUCUACUAUGUUGUUUCUCUGCUCUUUUCCAGGAUGCUGAUGCAGCUCUUCCCAAUUUUGCAUUAUCCUCUGACCCAUGGGCUCACUCCAUGACUUGCCCUGGCUGCCAGGUUACAGUCCCAGGGCCAUAUCUGGACUAACCACAUUCUUUGGAUACUUUAGACCAUUUGGCUAAGCUCUCCCUGGCCAGCCAUUGCUACUGGGCCCCUUGCUACAAGUUUUUGCCUAGUUUUUCCUCAUACCCCACUUUGCUGGCCUCCAAGUUGCCCUCCCAUCCCAGCAUGUCUUGCUUUUGAAUUCAUUUACAUUAGGAAGGAGCUAUGAGUUGAGCCAUCCUGAGAGCUGAAUUUUGGAAAGAAACUGAAUUUAUUUUAAAAUCAAAGAAUGUAAUCUUAAUUUCCUAUCCACUUGAGGUACUGAAGGAUUUUUAACACCUUUAAGGAAGAAAAAAGCUCAGGUUACAGCUUUGCUUGAUUUGCUUUGAAUGAAAUUGCCCAGUUUCUCCUGCUUUUUUUUUGUUGUUCUGGGCUAUCUGAUACUGAACCAUAUAGCCUGAAAUUGAGUUUUGUGCUCAAAUUUGAGAGAGAGAGCGAGACACAAGAGCAAGUAUUUGUAAAACUUGGGGAAAACAAGGGCAGCAGCAGUUACUUUCGUUAUCCCUAUUGCUGUAACCCUGGAAUUUUGGGUUCCUUGGUCAGUUGCAGUAUCAUCAGAACCUGGUGAAGCAGAACCUACCACCAACCCCAGUAGUCCUAAUAAUUUACCCUGGGUCCUACCCACAUCAUCAUUCUCCUAAAUGUAAGAAGGAACUCAAAGGUCAAGUCAACUGGCCAGGUUGGAAUCCUGAUUCCCAAAUACUUAGAAAAAUCUCUUCCCUCUUCAAUAUAUCAAGAUGUGAGUCUUUCAACAUCUUCCUCCAAGAGUUUAAGAAAUCAUCUCACUCACUAGGUUUAAAUUGAAUCCCUUGAAAUGACUAAUAUCCACUCUCAGUAUCUCCAGCAACAGAUGCCAACUGAUAAAUUAUAUCUCCAAAUGCUAAUCACAUAUGAGCCUGGAGGCAUAAAAUGACGGAACCAACAUCUUUGUGGGCCAUCCCAGCUAGUGUGGCAGAGAGAAACGAGCUUGAGAUUUGAAGCCAGAGGACCUUGGCUAUUUGGAAGAAUGUGAUUCAGGUACUUCCAGUCAGAUACAUCCGUGCAAGACUUGGAUAGAGAAGUAACAUAAGGAGGCAGCUGUGGGAAGACUGACCAUCUGAAUUAUUCGCUUUGAGGAAAGCCAGCUUCCAUAUUGCUCUAUGAAGAGGCCUACAUGAUGAAGAACUGAAGUCUCCAAUCAACAGUCACCUAUCUAAACUUGGAAGUGAAUCCUCCAGUCUCAGUUGAGCUUUCGGAUUGCUGUAGCCUGUCCCCCCUACCCUAUGGACAGAUUGACUGCAACCUCAUGAUAGCCCCUGAACCAGAAGAACCUCAUAAAUGACUUCAAAAUUCCUAACUCUCAGAAACUAUGUGAGAUGAUAAACAUCUGUUGUUUUAAACUGUUAAGCUGCUAGGUUUUAGCAUAGUCUGUAUAAGCAAUAGAUAAAUAAUAUACAAGGGGAAACCUCAGUAACUAAUAGUGGUGAUGGUGGUAGUGGUGAUGGUCGUGGUGAUGAUGAUGCAAGACGAGGAGGAAGCUGCUGGUAUGAGCCCCAAAGUCUCCUGUUUAGGAGGUAAAAUAAAUCUUUUUUAU
Pan troglodytes (chimpanzee) is the source of this 1979-nucleotide long non-coding RNA. RefSeq lists it as uncharacterized. NCBI's taxonomy places the organism in Eukaryota, Metazoa, Chordata, Mammalia, Primates, Hominidae. The transcript has 3 exons. The record is from RefSeq and is a predicted model, not a curated record.